This 3207-nucleotide long non-coding RNA is filed under the name Homo sapiens (human). RNAcentral's name for it is "PREDICTED lncRNA (TCONS_00048463)". Lineage: Eukaryota; Metazoa; Chordata; Mammalia; Primates; Hominidae. The record is from RNAcentral.
CGUGUCUGUACCGGUGCUGCAACGGGAGGGUCGGGCGGCGACGCUCUCACUGCCGGGCCAGAAGGAGGCCUCCCGGCUCCCUCACGCUAGAAGGGAGCUGGUUACCAGAGGUUUUCAGAGACGCCAAAGUUUUGCCAGAAUUUGUUGCAAGCACAUGAAAGAUUUUGUGGCUGAAGUAAUGUAAAACCAUUGAUCAAACCGGAAAUUGAGACACAGCCAGCGUCACACAACAGGCCAUCUGAAAGGCUGGAAUAGCAUCGAGGGAGUCUCCCUGGAACCAAGCAGCCAAGGCAGGCUAAUGGUGAAGGCCCAGGCACAGUAAUGGUCCCCUGGAGGUGGGUAAUGGAACCAUGGGGGCGGGAGGAGGGUUCCAUUAGCAGUAGCAGAUCAGGAGGGGAAGGGCAAAGUUCCAGCCUCAGCUUCUCCCAUGUAUUAGGAGGCUUCCUGUCUCUCCAGCCCUGAGGAGGUAUUUGGCUCAUUCAGGCCUUUUCAUCCUCCUUCUCUCAACUUCUCUCAUUGCCCCUGGGAAAACUUGCUCUGAAAAUGCAUGCUGGGGAUGAAGCCUCUGCCCUGGCCCAGGCUCCAAUCCCCCCUUCCCAGGGUACAGUGGUGUCUCUGUUGCCCCUUGAUGCCAUACCCUGCCUUACACUCUCUGGUGGCUCCACCAUCCUCUGGAUAAAGCCUAGCUCUCUAGCCUGCCACUCCAGCCUCCCUGCCUCUCUGCCUCACCUCUCACCUCUGACCAGCCUCCUGUUGCCUCUUGCUGCUCCCUCUGCCCACAGUGCCCCCUGCUUCUGGCUCCCCACCAUGGGUCCUCGAAGACCCAGGCCAGGUGCCCCACCACUUACCAUGCUGUUAUUGCUAUCACUGCCUGUCUCCCCCUCUAACAGGGAUCUCUCUGAGAGCAGAGCCAGGUUCCAUUCUGUUCACAAUUAAAUGGCCAACACCUAGCACUGUCCCUGAAUAAUUUUUCUUUUUUUUUCUUUGAGAUGGAGUCCUGCUCUGUCAUCCAUGCUGGAGUGCAGUGGCGUGAUCUCAGCUCACUGCAACCUCCGCCUCCUGGGUUCAAGUGAUUCUCCUGCCUCAGCCUCCCAAGUAGCUGGGAUUACAAGUGUGCACCAUCACACCCUGCUGAUUUUUGUAUUUUUAGUAGAGACAGGGUUUCACCAUGUUGGCCAGGCUGUUCUUGAACUCCUGGCCUAAAGCGAUCCACCCGCCUUGGCCUCCCAAAGUCCUGGGAUUACAGGCGUGAGCCACCGUACCUGACCCCUGUCCCUGAACAUUUGUCACAAUAUAUUAUGAGUGAAUGAGUAAGAACUCUAUUUUAGUGGUCACCUUCUUUGUGCUAGUCAUUAAGUUUAAGGUAUCUCGCUUAAUAUUCUCCAGAACCCUGUGAGAUAGGCAUUAUUUUAUUCUCAUGUGACAUGUAGAGAAACAGGUUCAGAAAGGGGAAGCGAAAGUCCAAAGCAGUGAAUCUGCGGUGGGUCUCCUGGCCCCAGAAUUGCAGCCUGAUGGGAAGGAAGGCCCUGCUGAGUUCCCAGAGUUAUGGCUGGGUCAUGGCAUUGGGACCCACACUGGCAGCUCCAGUUACACAGGGCUGGGCUGGCUCUAGCAGCCUUGUCUUACUUGCUCCCUGAACUGCUGCAUUGACCUGCACCAUCCUCCCUUCCCUUGCCAGCCGAGAACUGUGCUCCUCAGGUUUCCUGGGCAGGGUCCAGGGCUCUGAUGCCAAACGCAGCCUGGAAACUCUAGCUCUCAGCAUGCCAGGAUGCGGGCACCCAAGUGAGGCCGCCUGGGAUGCAGGAAGCUUAGUCCAGGCCUGGGCAUGCCUCUGUUCCAUCUCCCCUCAAGCAGGACCAGCUACUUAAUCUGCGGGACCCAGAGCAGAAUGAAAAUGUGGGCCCCUCAUUCAAAAAUUUAAAAUUUCCAACAAAAGAAUGAAAAAAUAAGAAAAAAUUAAGAAUUUCAAGAUGGUGAUAGCAGAGUAUUUAACACUUCAAAUCAUGACCCUUACUGUCCAGGUCACAUGCCCACAAAGUCAGCCCUGUCGUCAGGCCUUGGUUUCCUUGUCUGUCAAGUGGGAGAAUGGUAGCCACUGGCCAAAAGGGUGAGGGUGAGAAUGAGGUGGGAGCUGGUGGUAAGAGGUCCAGUGAACAGCAUGAGGAUGAGGUAAGAGUCUCCAAGUUCAUGAUUUGUUAUCUGGGUCUCAGCACCGGGUGGCAGGCCAAACUCCUUGCCAGGAGUUUGAUUGCUUACAACAGCUCUUUUUCACAGAACCAAAAAACUAAAAAUCCAUGAAGCAAAGUAACUUGCUCAGGGUCACACAGAGACUCAGUGGGGGAAGCCAAGAUCAGAGUUCUGGCCUGGCUCUCUUCGAAGCUGGUGCUUUUUGUGACCCAGGCAGGAGAGAGAGAAGCGCAGGAGGGAGGUGGGAUGGGGACAGGCUGCUCAGGACAAAGAGGGCCACUGUGCAGACACAAAGACCUGACCACAGAGGCCCCUCUGGGGGCUGGGACAGACAAAUGGAUGGAGCCCUGUGACUCUAUCUGUGGUGACUGGGGUAGCUGCCAGGAGCUGCCUCCUAGACCCUACCUGGUUGUGAUGAGGGUUGGGGAGGGUGUUGGUGUGCAGGAACCAGGAAAUGGGUCAGGGAGGAGAAACAAACUCAGAGAUGGGCCCCUUCCCCACUCCCCAGGCCUCUGACCCCAUCUCCCCCUAGCUCCUCCUGGGCAGCCUGCCAGCUUAUGGAAUCUCCCACAAACCAUCCACCGCCCCACAUUCCUCCUUCUCAGUGAGGGUGAGGCUCAGGCAACUCACUGUCUGGCAGUCCCAGCCUCACAAUACUUCUGACCCUUCCCCAUCACCAGUGGCAGGAUGAAGCAUAUGCCCUCGGCGCAGUGUCCUUCAGGGCCCUGUGUGACCUGCCCUGCUGACCUUUCUUCACUCACCUGUCCCCACUCCUCCUCAGCCUUCUACGCUGCAGUCACAUGGAACGUCCCACCAUUCUCCAAACACUCUGUCCUUUCAUACACACACCCCCAUGUUGGCUCAUGCUUUUCCUUCUUCCUGGGGGGCUGUUUCCCCUGCUCCAGUAGACUGAAAUCCCAUUUCUCCUCCAUGAACCAGCUCAAAUGCCACCUCCAGUAGCCAGCUUUCCUCCAUGCCCACAGUUGGGUUUAGCUUCGCUCAUUAACCUGUUAAUCUACA